GGCUCCAUAGUGUAGUGGUUAACAUGUCUGCUUUACACACAGAAGGUCCUGGGUUUGCACCCCAGGUGGAGCCA
This is a non-coding RNA of Pteropus alecto (black flying fox), 74 nucleotides long. NCBI's taxonomy places the organism in Eukaryota, Metazoa, Chordata, Mammalia, Chiroptera, Pteropodidae. The record is from Rfam.